This 440-nucleotide ribosomal RNA is filed under the name uncultured bacterium. RNAcentral's name for it is "partial 16S ribosomal RNA". It matches the Rfam family "Bacterial small subunit ribosomal RNA", at positions 338 to 795 of the family's 1533-position model. The record is from RNAcentral.
CCUACGGGCGGCAGCAGUGGGGAAUAUUGCACAAUGGGGGAAACCCUGAUGCAGCGACGCCGCGUGAGUGAAGAAGUAUUUCGGUAUGUAAAGCUCUGUCAGCAGGGAAGAAAAUGACUGUACCGUACCAACAAGCCCCGGAGAACUUCGUGCCAGCAGCCGCGGUAAUACGUAGGGGGGAAGCGUUAUCCGGAUUUACUGGAUGUAGAGGAAGCGUAGACGGCAGGGCAAGUCUGGGGUGAAGGGCGGGGGCUCAACCCGCGGACUGCUCUGGAAACGGGCAGGCUGGAGUGCAGGAGAGGGAAGUGGAACUCCUAGUGUAGCGGUGAAAUGCGUAGAUAUUAGGAGGAACACCAGUGGCGAAGGCGGCUUACUGGACUGUAACUGACGUUGAGGCGCGAAAGCGUGGGGAGCAAACAGGAUUAGAUACCCGUGUAGUC